GAUGAACGCUGGCGGCGUGCCUAAUACAUGCAAGUCGAGCGAACGGACGAGAAGCUUGCUUUUCUGAUGUUAGCGGCGGACGGGUGAGUAACACGUGGAUAACCUACCUAUAAGACUGGGAUAACUUCGGGAAACCGGAGCUAAUACCGGAUAAUAUUUUGAACCGCAUGGUUCAAAAGUGAAAUACGGUCUUGCUGUCACUUAUAGAUGGAUCCGCGCUGCAUUAGCUAGUUGGUAAGGUAACGGCUUACCAAGGCAACGAUGCAUAGCCGACCUGAGAGGGUGAUCGGCCACACUGGAACUGAGACACGGUCCAGACUCCUACGGGAGGCAGCAGUAGGGAAUCUUCCGCAAAGGGCGAAAGCCUGACGGAGCAACGCCGAGUGAGUGAUGAAGGUCUUCGGAUCGUAAAACUCUGUUAUUAGGGAAGAACAUAUGUGUAAGUAACUGUGCACAUCUUGACGGUACCUAAUCAGAAAGCCACGGCUAACUACGUG
Molecule: ribosomal RNA, 497 nt
Filed under: uncultured bacterium
Lineage: Bacteria
Description: partial 16S ribosomal RNA
Rfam family: Bacterial small subunit ribosomal RNA
Source: RNAcentral